Molecule: ribosomal RNA, 253 nt
Filed under: uncultured bacterium
Lineage: Bacteria
Description: partial 16S ribosomal RNA
Rfam family: Bacterial small subunit ribosomal RNA
Source: RNAcentral
UACGAAGGGGGCUAGCGUUGCUCGGAAUUACUGGGCGUAAAGCGUGCGUAGGUGGUUCGUUAAGUCUGUCGUGAAAGCCCCGGGCUCAACCUGGGAAUGGCGAUGGAUACUGGCGGGCUAGAGUGCGGUAGAGGAGAGUGGAAUUCCCGGUGUAGCAGUGAAAUGCGUAGAGAUCGGGAGGAACAUCAGUUGCGAAGGCGGCUCUCUGGACCAGCACUGACACUGAGGCACGAAAGCGUGGGGAGCAAACAGG